CUAGUACCCGAGUUCCUUACUUCCUCUGUAAUUACGCCAAUCUAAACCGACUCUGGGUUUAGGGUUUUGGUGUCUUAACUCUCUCCACUACUUUCCCUCCAUUUCCUCUCUGUCUUUCUUAUUAUCUGUCUCUCAAUCCUCUUGAGGUGAGUUCCAUUGAAAUUCCCCUUUUUUUGGCCCUAAUCUCCAUCACCAAAUUUAACACCUUUAGCUUAUUGCAAUUUCAAAAGUUAAUUGCUUUAAGCAGGAAAAAAAGGGAGAAAUAAAAUUGUUGGGUUUCUACUCUUUUAUGCGGGUAUUAAAUGGGAAGAGGAUUAGCAACGUUUCUGUUUAGAAUCUAUACUUCUAAGAAAAAUGUUUCUAGAGUUAAGUUUAUGUCAUCCAAUCGAUAUAUUCAUUCUUUUAGACAAUUUGAAAACUGGGUUUCGGAUACAGACCCUCCGUCUUUCCAUGUGCCUCGAAGAGAGUUUUCGACUAGCUUGGUUGGUUUAGUUGGUAAAUUUAGAAACUAUGGGGAUGCUAAUGUGAGACCUUUUUCCUCUGUUGUUAAAAAUGGGGGUGAUGAUGGUGGGGAGGAUAAUGGAAUGCAUGAUUCAGAAAUGGAAAAAAAUGAGCACGGUAAGCAUAUUUUUGAUUUUGUGAAACUUGUCGAUUUUGAUGGUGAAAAUGAGAAUAAGGUUGAGGAUGAUGUUGAUGAUUUGAAUGAGAAUGGUAUAUAUGGUUCAAAAGAUGUUGAGUUGGAACAUGGAAAUGAUAAAGAGAAUAAGCGUAUUGUGGAUUUUAUGAGAGUUAAUGAUUUUGAUGGUGUCCAUGAGAAUUCAGAUGAGGAUGGUAUUGACGGUUCUAAGGAGGAUGGCAUUGACGGUUCUAAGGAGGAUGGAAUUGAUAGAACUGUGAAUCGUAAGCAAGUCGGCUUUCGAAAUCCGGUGGAAUUGUAUCAGGAACUUCGUAAUAAUGAAAAGCCUGCGAAGCUGUGCCGAGAAGAUUGGGAGAUCUUACAGCAAGUUUUCAGCUAUUUCUGUAGAUCAGGGUGGGCAGCCAAUCAGUCACUUGCUAUUUACAUUGGCAGGUCAUUUUUCCCUACUGCUGCUCAUAAGUUCCGUAGCUUUUUCUUUAAGAAUUGUUCUGCUGAUGUUACUGAAUAUUUGGUAUCACUUGGUCCAUCUAAUGCUGCUGUUAAGUUUCUUUUCCCUAUAUUUGUGGAGUUCUGUAUUGAAGAGUUUCCUGAUGAGAUCAAGCAGUUUCGAAGUAUGAUUCAAUCAGCAGAUCUUACAGCGCCGCAUACAUGGUUUCCCUUUGCACGGGCAAUGAAGCGUAAGAUCAUUUAUCACUGUGGCCCAACAAAUAGUGGCAAGACUUACAAUGCUUUGCAGCGGUUUAUGGAAGCAAAAAAGGGUAUUUAUUGCAGCCCGCUUAGGCUUUUGGCUAUGGAAGUUUUUGACAAAGUGAAUGCACAAGGAAUUUACUGUAGUCUCCACACAGGGCAAGAGAAGAAAUAUGUCCCGUUUUCGAAUCAUGUCGCCUGUACUGUGGAAAUGGUGUCAACUGAGGAAUUAUAUGAUGUAGCUGUUAUUGAUGAAAUCCAGAUGAUGUCAGACCCGUAUAGAGGUCAUGCAUGGACGCGCGCAUUGCUCGGAUUGAAAGCUGAUGAGAUACAUUUGUGUGGGGAUCCAACAGUUCUCAAUAUUGUUAGAAAAAUCUGUUCAGAUACCGGAGACGAGUUGCAUGAACAUCAUUAUGACAGGUUCAAACCCUUAGUGGUUGAAGCCAAGACACUGUUGGGAGACCUUCAAAAUGUUCGCUCGGGUGACUGUGUUGUUGCUUUCUCAAGGAGAGAGAUAUUCGAGGUGAAAAUGGCUAUUGAGAAACACACAAGUCACCGCUGCUGUGUUAUUUAUGGUGCGUUGCCGCCAGAGACUCGCAGGCAUCAAGCUAACUUGUUUAAUGAUCAAGAUAAUGAAUUUGAUGUGCUUGUUGCCAGUGAUGCUGUGGGGAUGGGAUUGAAUCUUAACAUUAGGAGAGUUGUCUUUUAUAGUCUUUCAAAGUACAAUGGUGACAAGAUUGUUCCUGUCCCGGCAUCUCAGGUUAAGCAAAUUGCUGGAAGAGCUGGUCGUAGAGGAAGCCGUUACCCAGAUGGACUUACGACAACCUUGCAUUUAAAUGAUCUUGAUUAUCUAAUUGAGUGUUUAAAGCAACCCUUUGAAGAAGUUAAGAAAGUGGGUCUCUUUCCAUUCUUCGAGCAGGUUGAAUUGUUUGCUGGGCAAUUCCCUAAUGUUACUUUCUGCAAGUUGCUUGAAAAAUUUGGUGAAAAUUGCCGUUUGGAUGGAUUGUACUUUUUGUGUCGACAUGAUCAUAUUAAGAAGGUAGCAAAUAUGUUGGAAAAGGUUCAGGGAAUAUCUUUGGAAGACCGGUUCAACUUUUGUUUUGCUCCGGUCAAUAUUAGAGACCCGAAAGCAAUGUACCAUCUCCUUAGGUUUGCUUCGGCUUACAGUCAAAAUGUCCCGGUUAGCAUAGCGAUGGGUAUGCCAAAAGGUUCCGCUAAAAAUGAUUCAGAACUUCUGGAUCUUGAGACAAAACACCAAGUUUUAUCUAUGUAUCUUUGGUUAUCUCACCACUUCAGGGAGGAAACCUUUCCUUAUGUGAAAAAAGCAGAAGAAAUGGCUAUCGAUGUUGCUGACUUGUUGGGUAAGUCUCUUGUCAAUGCAUGUUGGAAACCAGAAUCGAGACAGCGAAAGAAAUCUAAUCCUGAAAAGAAGGAAGAAGGAUACCAGAGACCAAGGUCACUUAUCAAGUUACAUGAUAAGAAGAGGGCAGAUAAAUCUGUGCCAGCAGACAAUUCAUCGAAAGUAGCAGCAUAAUCAUAUUCUAGUGAAUCCUAAAUCUGCUGUAAAAAUGAUCACUUAUGGAUCAAAAGGUGCCAGACUCUUCUUUUUCAUUGCAAUAUGGAGUACUUUGAACUUUGAAGGUGAGAUUUGGACUAAUUUCGCUGAAUAAGGUCAAGUUCCACCAGAGUUGUUUUAGUUUGAUUUUAGCUGUUAAAAGUUUUUGUAGUGAGCUUCCAUAGAGAGAGAAACUGUACGAACCAUCAUAUUUUUAUCAUCAAUCAAAAUAACAUAAUGCUUUAUUUCAGCA
This is an RNA transcript of Gossypium raimondii (Peruvian cotton), 3132 nucleotides long. It is a transcript of the gene named DExH-box ATP-dependent RNA helicase DExH18, mitochondrial, with no coding region annotated. Lineage: Eukaryota; Viridiplantae; Streptophyta; Magnoliopsida; Malvales; Malvaceae. The record is from RefSeq and is a predicted model, not a curated record. The transcript has 4 exons.